UAUUCCUGGUUAUUUGAAGACAGCUGGCAAUUUUUAUUGAUGCAUGUAAGACACCUACCAUUGUUGGAUCAAGGAUGGUUCUUCAUCUACGGAGUAUCAAGCUCUUUCAACCAUUCUACCCAUAAAAAUUCCACUAUCUCUUUCUCUCUCUUACUUUGUUGUUUUACCCUUUGAAAUGUGAUAUAUGGUUUUGAAAUUUAAGGCUGAUUUCGGAAGAAAUUAAUUUGUUUUUUGAAAUUUGUCUUGAUUUCAGAUCAGAGACAAAGCUGAAAAGGACGGGCAGAAGAAGAAGCAACAAGGAAGAGACGAUUCUAGAAGGUGGAGAGGUUUGAAGAGCAACCCCAAGUUUUUAAGUUUCAGCAAAUAGAUCCAAGACUUCUUGAUACUUUUGGAGAAACAAUAGGGAAUGGACAGUCACCGAACAAUUUGGUUCAUAUUACUUCAUAGCAAUUUAUAGUUAAUAUGAUUAAAUAGGAUUGUCGAUUAAGGUUCAUAAUUCUUUUGUUCAUAUAUAAUAUAUAGUUAUACUAUGUUAUUAUGAAAUUUAUCAUAUACAGAGUAGUACUUUGUAAGUACCAAGUACUAAGUUCAGUUGUAUAGCAGACACGUGCAAAGCACGUGCCAUUUACUAGUUUUUUUAUAUAAACAUAAGGAAAAGGUACACAAGAUCCUCUUCCAACCUUGUACCUA
Spinacia oleracea (spinach) is the source of this 690-nucleotide long non-coding RNA. RefSeq lists it as uncharacterized. The transcript has 3 exons. The record is from RefSeq and is a predicted model, not a curated record. Lineage: Eukaryota; Viridiplantae; Streptophyta; Magnoliopsida; Caryophyllales; Amaranthaceae.